UACGGGGGGAGCAAGCGUUGUUCGGAUUUACUGGGCGUAAAGGGCGCGUAGGCGGCCUCUGCAAGUCGACUGUGAAAUCUCCGGGCUUAACCCGGAAAGGUCAGCCGAUACUGCAGGGCUAGAGUGCAGAAGGGGCAACUGGAAUUCUCGGUGUAGCGGUGAAAUGCGUAGAUAUCGAGAGGAACACCUGCGGCGAAGGCGGGUUGCUGGGACGUUACUGACGCUGAGACGCGAAAGCGUGGGGAGCAAACAGG
RNAcentral lists this ribosomal RNA (254 nucleotides) under uncultured bacterium. RNAcentral describes it as "partial 16S ribosomal RNA". It matches the Rfam family "Bacterial small subunit ribosomal RNA", at positions 524 to 776 of the family's 1533-position model. The record is from RNAcentral.